AUACGGAGGAUGCGAGCGUUAUCCGGAUUUAUUGGGUUUAAAGGGUGCGUAGGCUGUGCGUUAAGUCAGGGGUGAAAUGCCGUCGCUCAACGACGGAGCUGCCCUUGAUACUGGCGUGCUGGAGUACGGAUGCCGUUGGAGGAAUGUGUGGUGUAGCGGUGAAAUGCUUAGAUAUCACUCAGAACACCGAUUGCGAAGGCAUCUGACGAAUCCGUCACUGACGCUGAGGCACGAAAGCGUGGGGAUAGAACAGGAUUAGAUACCCUGGUAUUCCACGCCGUAAACGAUGAUGACUAACCGUCGGCGAUAGACAGCCGGUGGCCAAGCGAAAGCGAUAAGUCAUCCACCUGGGGAGUACGUCGGCAACGAUGAAACUCAAAUGAAUUGACGGGG
RNAcentral lists this ribosomal RNA (393 nucleotides) under uncultured bacterium. RNAcentral describes it as "partial 16S ribosomal RNA". It matches the Rfam family "Bacterial small subunit ribosomal RNA", at positions 523 to 918 of the family's 1533-position model. The record is from RNAcentral.